CGACGACGACGACGUUAUUCCCGACUUCCUAGCAUCAGUCAGGGCAAGAUUUAGUACCGCUGAGAGAAAAAACGUUUUAUCUGCUCUACCUUUCUGGGACAGUUUCAGUGGAUAUAAGUUUACAGCCAAAGGCACCUGAGAAGACUGACAUGCUUACAAUAAAUCUGUCCAUUAACUGCUUCAGCCCUCGUCCUUUUGCAAGCAUCUCAAAUAAAUGCCUGUUUUCCAACCAGCUUGCCUUCUUCCUUUGUUUGCAUGAACAGAAGUGCCACUCUGUAGGGGAACACAUAGAACUGGCUUUCAUAGAAGUACAAGAGGAUAUGUAUGCUGUUUUGGUAUCGCUGAAGGUGCUUUCUAGGCACCUUCUGAACAGGAACAUUAUUCAAAAUGAAGACAGUCAAGGAAUUAUAAACAAAGUAGUUUACCCUUAGUCCUGAGUCAGUGAGCUCCACACAGUAUCUGCCUCUUUCCCUGGUUUCCACGUUGAUAUAUGCCACAUCCUCUGCACAUGGAAGGGUUUUUGAAACAAACAUGUUGCUGACAGCAAACAGAACAUCAUUCACUACAGCUUCAGCUUCUAGUCUCAUAUCUUUUACAUCUGCUUCUUCGAAGUCUCUAUAAUCAG
Molecule: long non-coding RNA, 625 nt
Filed under: Gallus gallus (chicken)
Lineage: Eukaryota; Metazoa; Chordata; Aves; Galliformes; Phasianidae
Description: long non-coding RNA NONGGAT007797
Source: RNAcentral